This 2908-nucleotide ribosomal RNA is filed under the name Salmonella enterica subsp. enterica serovar Dublin. RNAcentral's name for it is "23S ribosomal RNA". It matches the Rfam family "Bacterial large subunit ribosomal RNA". RNAcentral also lists the same sequence under 1 other name. Lineage: Bacteria; Pseudomonadati; Pseudomonadota; Gammaproteobacteria; Enterobacterales; Enterobacteriaceae. The record is from RNAcentral.
GGUUAAGCGACUAAGCGUACACGGUGGAUGCCCUGGCAGUCAGAGGCGAUGAAGGGCGUGCUAAUCUGCGAUAAGCGCCGGUAAGGUGAUAUGAACCGUUAUAACCGGCGAUACCCGAAUGGGGAAACCCAGUGUGAUUCGUCACACUAUCAUUAACUGAAUCCAUAGGUUAAUGAGGCGAACCGGGGGAACUGAAACAUCUAAGUACCCCGAGGAAAAGAAAUCAACCGAGAUUCCCCCAGUAGCGGCGAGCGAACGGGGAGGAGCCCAGAGCCUGAAUCAGCAUGUGUGUUAGUGGAAGCGUCUGGAAAGGCGCGCGAUACAGGGUGACAGCCCCGUACACAAAAGCGCAUGUGCUGUGAGCUCGAUGAGUAGGGCGGGACACGUGGUAUCCUGUCUGAAUAUGGGGGGACCAUCCUCCAAGGCUAAAUACUCCUGACUGACCGAUAGUGAACCAGUACCGUGAGGGAAAGGCGAAAAGAACCCCGGCGAGGGGAGUGAAAAAGAACCUGAAACCGUGUACGUACAAGCAGUGGGAGCACAGGUUUACCUGUGUGACUGCGUACCUUUUGUAUAAUGGGUCAGCGACUUAUAUUCUGUAGCAAGGUUAACCGAAUAGGGGAGCCGGAGGGAAACCGAGUCUUAAUUGGGCGUUAAGUUGCAGGGUAUAGACCCGAAACCCGGUGAUCUAGCCAUGGGCAGGUUGAAGGUUGGGUAACACUAACUGGAGGACCGAACCGACUAAUGUUGAAAAAUUAGCGGAUGACCUGUGGCUGGGGGUGAAAGGCCAAUCAAACCGGGAGAUAGCUGGUUCUCCCCGAAAGCUAUUUAGGUAGCGCCUCGUGAAUUCAUCUCCGGGGGUAGAGCACUGUUUCGGCUAGGGGGCCAUCCCGGCUUACCAACCCGAUGCAAACUGCGAAUACCGGAGAAUGUUAUCACGGGAGACACACGGCGGGUGCUAACGUCCGUCGUGAAGAGGGAAACAACCCAGACCGCCAGCUAAGGUCCCAAAGUCAUGGUUAAGUGGGAAACGAUGUGGGAAGGCCCAGACAGCCAGGAUGUUGGCUUAGAAGCAGCCAUCAUUUAAAGAAAGCGUAAUAGCUCACUGGUCGAGUCGGCCUGCGCGGAAGAUGUAACGGGGCUAAACCAUGCACCGAAGCUGCGGCAGCGACGCUUAUGCGUUGUUGGGUAGGGGAGCGUUCUGUAAGCCUGUGAAGGUGGCCUGUGAGGGUUGCUGGAGGUAUCAGAAGUGCGAAUGCUGACAUAAGUAACGAUAAAGCGGGUGAAAAGCCCGCUCGCCGGAAGACCAAGGGUUCCUGUCCAACGUUAAUCGGGGCAGGGUGAGUCGACCCCUAAGGCGAGGCCGAAAGGCGUAGUCGAUGGGAAACGGGUUAAUAUUCCCGUACUUGGUGUUACUGCGAAGGGGGGACGGAGAAGGCUAUGUUGGCCGGGCGACGGUUGUCCCGGUUUAAGCGUGUAGGUGUGUGUUCCAGGUAAAUCCGGUUCACUUUAACACUGAGGCGUGAUGACGAGGCACUACGGUGCUGAAGUAACAAAUGCCCUGCUUCCAGGAAAAGCCUCUAAGCAUCAGGUAACAUCAAAUCGUACCCCAAACCGACACAGGUGGUCAGGUAGAGAAUACCAAGGCGCUUGAGAGAACUCGGGUGAAGGAACUAGGCAAAAUGGUGCCGUAACUUCGGGAGAAGGCACGCUGACACGUAGGUGAAGUGAUUUACUCAUGGAGCUGAAGUCAGUCGAAGAUACCAGCUGGCUGCAACUGUUUAUUAAAAACACAGCACUGUGCAAACACGAAAGUGGACGUAUACGGUGUGACGCCUGCCCGGUGCCGGAAGGUUAAUUGAUGGGGUCAGCGCAAGCGAAGCUCCUGAUCGAAGCCCCGGUAAACGGCGGCCGUAACUAUAACGGUCCUAAGGUAGCGAAAUUCCUUGUCGGGUAAGUUCCGACCUGCACGAAUGGCGUAAUGAUGGCCAGGCUGUCUCCACCCGAGACUCAGUGAAAUUGAACUCGCUGUGAAGAUGCAGUGUACCCGCGGCAAGACGGAAAGACCCCGUGAACCUUUACUAUAGCUUGACACUGAACAUUGAGCCUUGAUGUGUAGGAUAGGUGGGAGGCUUUGAAGUGUGGACGCCAGUCUGCAUGGAGCCGACCUUGAAAUACCACCCUUUAAUGUUUGAUGUUCUAACGUGGACCCGUUACCCGGGUUGCGGACAGUGUCUGGUGGGUAGUUUGACUGGGGCGGUCUCCUCCUAAAGAGUAACGGAGGAGCACGAAGGUUGGCUAAUCCUGGUCGGACAUCAGGAGGUUAGUGCAAUGGCAUAAGCCAGCUUGACUGCGAGCGUGACGGCGCGAGCAGGUGCGAAAGCAGGUCAUAGUGAUCCGGUGGUUCUGAAUGGAAGGGCCAUCGCUCAACGGAUAAAAGGUACUCCGGGGAUAACAGGCUGAUACCGCCCAAGAGUUCAUAUCGACGGCGGUGUUUGGCACCUCGAUGUCGGCUCAUCACAUCCUGGGGCUGAAGUAGGUCCCAAGGGUAUGGCUGUUCGCCAUUUAAAGUGGUACGCGAGCUGGGUUUAGAACGUCGUGAGACAGUUCGGUCCCUAUCUGCCGUGGGCGCUGGAGAACUGAGGGGGGCUGCUCCUAGUACGAGAGGACCGGAGUGGACGCAUCACUGGUGUUCGGGUUGUCAUGCCAAUGGCACUGCCCGGUAGCUAAAUGCGGAAGAGAUAAGUGCUGAAAGCAUCUAAGCACGAAACUUGCCCCGAGAUGAGUUCUCCCUGAGACUUAAAGUCUCCUGAAGGAACGUUGAAGACGACGACGUUGAUAGGCCGGGUGUGUAAGCGCAGCGAUGCGUUGAGCUAACCGGUACUAAUGAACCGUGAGGCUUAACCCU